GAACCCCUGUGAGGGGAGUGAAAUAGAACCUGAAACCGUGUACGUACAAGCAGUAGGAGCACCUUCGUGGUGUGACUGCGUACCUUUUGUAUAAUGGGUCAGCGACUUAUAUUCAGUGGCAAGGUUAACCAUCUAGGGGAGCCGUAGGGAAACCGAGUCUUAACUGGGCGUUCAGUCUCUGGAUAUAGACCCGAAACCAGGUGAUCUAGCCAUGGGCAGGUUGAAGGUUGAGUAACAUCAACUGGAGGACCGAACCGACUAAUGUUGAAAAAUUAGCGGAUGACUUGUGGCUAGGGGUGAAAGGCCAAUCAAACCUGGAGAUAGCUGGUUCUCCCCGAAAGCUAUUUAGGUAGCGCCUCGGACGAAUACUACUGGGGGUAGAGCACUGUUAAGGCUAGGGGGUCAUCCCGACUUACCAACCCUUUGCAAACUCCGAAUACCAGUAAGUACUAUCCGGGAGACACACGGCGGGUGCUAACGUCCGUCGUGGAGAGGGAAACAACCCAGACCGCCAGCUAAGGUCCCAAAUUACUACUAAGUGGGAAACGAUGUGGGAAGGCUCAGACAGCCAGGAUGUUGGCUUAGAAGCAGCCAUCAUUUAAAGAAAGCGUAAUAGCUCACUGGUCGAGUCGGCCUGCGCGGAAGAUGUAACGGGGCUAAGUAGUAAACCGAAGCUGCGGCAAUACACUUUUGUGUAUUGGGUAGGGGAGCGUUCUGUAAGCGGUUGAAGGUGUGUGGUAACGCAUGCUGGACGUAUCAGAAGUGCGAAUGCUGACAUGAGUAACGAUAAAGGGGGUGAAAAACCUCCUCGCCGGAAGACCAAGGGUUCCUGUCCAACGUUAAUCGGGGCAGGGUAAGUCGACCCCUAAGGCGAGGCCGAAAGGCGUAGUCGAUGGGAAACGGGUUAAUAUUCCCGUACUUCUUACAAUUGCGAUGGGGGGACGGAGAAGGCUAGGUGGGCCUGGCGACGGUUGUCCAGGUUCAAGUGCGUAGGCUUAAGAGUUAGGUAAAUCCGGCUCUUUCUAAGGCUGAGACACGACGUCGAGCACCUACGGGUGUGAAGUCAUUGAUGCCAUGCUUCCAGGAAAAGCCUCUAAGCUUCAGAUUGUAAGGAAUCGUACCCCAAACCGACACAGGUGGUCGGGUAGAGAAUACCAAGGCGCUUGAGAGAACUCGGGUGAAGGAACUAGGCAAAAUGGUACCGUAACUUCGGGAGAAGGUACGCUCUCGACGGUGAAGUCCCUUGCGGAUGGAGCUAUUGAGAGUCGCAGAUACCAGGUGGCUGCAACUGUUUAUUAAAAACACAGCACUGUGCAAAAUCGUAAGAUGACGUAUACGGUGUGACGCCUGCCCGGUGCCGGAAGGUUAAUUGAUGGGGUUAGACUUCGGUCGAAGCUCUUGAUCGAAGCCCCGGUAAACGGCGGCCGUAACUAUAACGGUCCUAAGGUAGCGAAAUUCCUUGUCGGGUAAGUUCCGACCUGCACGAAUGGCGUAAUGAUGGCCACGCUGUCUCCACCCGAGACUCAGUGAAAUUGAAAUCGCUGUGAAGAUGCAGUGUACCCGCGGCUAGACGGAAAGACCCCGUGAACCUUUACUACAGCUUGGCACUGAACAUUGACCCUACAUGUGUAGG
Molecule: ribosomal RNA, 1633 nt
Filed under: Vibrio parahaemolyticus
Lineage: Bacteria; Pseudomonadati; Pseudomonadota; Gammaproteobacteria; Vibrionales; Vibrionaceae
Description: partial 23S ribosomal RNA
Rfam family: Bacterial large subunit ribosomal RNA
Source: RNAcentral